GGAUUACGUAUGCAAGUCGAACGGUAUAAACCUUUCGGGGUUUAGAGAGUGGCGAACGGGUGAGUAACACGUAGGUAAUCUACCCUCAAAACGGGGACAACCCAGGGAAACUUGGGCUAAUACCGGAUGCGUGCAAGCAAUGUUUUGGCUGUUAAUGCUAUUCACGGAAGUGAGUAGUGUUAAUGGUUGAGAGCAUUAUUUGCAUAAAAGGUGGCAUAUGCUGCCGUUUGAGGAUGAGCCUGCGUCCUAUUAGUUAGUUGGUGAGGUAAUGGCUUACCAAGGCGAUGAUAGGUAGGCGGCCUUAACGGGUGGUCGCCCACACUGGGAUUGAGAGACGGCCCAGACUCCUACGGGAGGCAGCAGUCGAGAAUAGUCUACAAUGGACGGAAGUCUGAUAGUGCGACGCCGCGUGAACGAAGAAUCCCUUCGGGGUGUAAAGUUCUUUUAUACGUGAGCAGUGCCCUUUAUAUGAAUAGUAUAGAGGGAGGGAUUUAAGCGUAUGAAUAAGCAACGGCUAACUCCGUGCCAGCAGCCGCGGUAACACGGGGGUUGCAAGCGUUGUCCGGAUUACUAGGCGUAAAGUGCAGGUAGGCGGAUAGAUAAUUUUAAAGUUAAAGGCUACGGCUUGCCCGUAGUAAGGCGUUAGAUACUGUUUAUUUGGAAUGCGGUGAGGGAGACCGAAUUUCUGGUGUAGGGGUGGAAUGCGCAGAGAUCAGGAGGAAUACCAAAGGGGAGGGCAGUUUUUUAAGCCGAUUUGGACGUUAAAUGGCGAAGGUGUGGGGAUCAAACAGGGAUAAGAUCCCCGGGUAGUCCCCCCCAGUAAACGAUAAUCACUAGGUGUGGGGUUCGUAUAGGACUCGGUGCCGGAGCUAACGCGAUAAGUGAUUCGCCUGGGGAGUACGAUCGCAAGGUUGAAACUCAAAGGAAUUGACGGGGGCCCCCACAAGCGGUGGAGCAUGUGGUUUAAUUCGACGCAACGCGAAGAACCUUACCCGGUCUUGACAUCUGCAGAAUUCUUCAGAGAUGGAGGAGUGCCGGCUUGCCGGAGCUGCAAGACAGGUGCUGCAUGGCUGUCGUCAGCUCGUGUCGUGAGAUGUUGGGUUAAGUCCCGCAACGAGCGCAACCCCUGCUUUCAGUUACCAUCAUUAAGUUGGGGACUCUGAAAGGACCGCUGCGGUAACAACGCAGAGGAAGAUGGGGACGAGGUCAAGUCAUCAUGGUCCUUAUGACCGGGGCUACACACGUGCUACAAUGGUAGUUACAGAGGGGAGCGAAGCAGUGAUGUGGAGCGAAUCUCAGAAAAGCUACCCAAGUUCGGAUUGAGGUCUGCAACUCGACCUCAUGAAGCCGGAAUCGCUAGUAAUCGCGCAACAUCAUGGUGCGGUGAAUACGUUCCCGGGCCUUGUAGACACCGCCCG
Molecule: ribosomal RNA, 1418 nt
Filed under: uncultured bacterium
Lineage: Bacteria
Description: bacterial SSU rRNA
Rfam family: Bacterial small subunit ribosomal RNA
Source: RNAcentral